Molecule: unclassified non-coding RNA, 678 nt
Filed under: Smithia agharkarii
Lineage: Eukaryota; Viridiplantae; Streptophyta; Magnoliopsida; Fabales; Fabaceae
Description: sequence contains ITS1, 5.8S rRNA gene, ITS2
Rfam family: 5.8S ribosomal RNA (bases 287-442)
Source: RNAcentral
GUCGUAACAAGGUUUCCGUAGGUGAACCUGCGGAAGGAUCAUUUUUGAUGCCUCAACCGAGCAAAACCCGUGCAUAUGUUCUAAAUCUCGGGGAGUUCGCAGACGCCAUUGCAGCUCGAAUACUCCCUGAAAUGUGGGGCCUUGUAUGCCCUUCGGGGCACCGUCCCUACAAAAACAACAAACCCCGGCGCGGAAUGCGUCAAGGAAUAAAAAAAUGUACAGUGCGUCCUGUCGGGCCCGGAAGCGGUGGUCGAUGGGGCCGUGUCACUAUAAUUGAGUCUAUAAUGACUCUCGGCAACGGAUAUCUCGGCUCUUGCAUCGAUGAAGAACGUAGCGAAAUGCGAUACUUGGUGUGAAUUGCAGAAUCCCGUGAACCAUCGAGUCUUUGAACGCAAGUUGCGCCCGAAGCCAUUAGGCCAAGGGCACGCCUGCCUGGGUGUCACCAAUCGCCACUCCCAACUCAGUGCCACUGGCGCAGAAGAGGAGAGAAUGAUGGCUUCCCGUGAGCACUGGCUCGCGGUUGGUUGAAAACGCUAUCCGUGCCGGCGUACAGCUCCGUGACACUUGGUGGUUGAGUUUAUAUCUCGAGGCCAGUCACGGGUGCCGAAGGCGGCUCUGGAAAACGAUGACCCUUUUAGCGGCAUACGCCGCUCAUGAAGCGACCUCAGGUCAGGCGGU